CAUAUUGAGACUCUGUUUCAAGAAACAAAACAGAAAACACCUGCUCCUGGGGCUGGGGCGAAGGGCCUCACCAUUUUAAAUCCAGCUCGAAUGUGGGUGAGGGUCCAGGGCUCCGGGUCAGGGGCUGUGGUUGCAGGGACCUUUGUCAUGCCCUGGUGCUCAACUCAUGGCAGUGCUCAGUCCAGGCCUGGCGAUGGUGCCAGCCAGCCACACCCUGGGCCCCUGCUGCACUGGCCCCCCCCCAGCCUUGGGGGAGCAGGCAGGGACCAGGAGCAGCUGGGCCGAGUGGCACGGGCGGCAAGGAGAUGUCAGGAGGCUGGACACUGUGAGCGAUGCCCCUUUCACAAUGCCAGCAGCAGGGGUGGGCAGGCACCACACAUGCCUGUAACAUGGCUCUGGCGGGCACUUGGGUGGGGACCCACGGCUCUGCGUGUGACAUGCGUGGCUCUCAGUGGAAACCAUCAGGGCAGGACAGUGGCAUCCAGGACAGCGUAGGCAGCAGGUCCUGGAACGGGCGCCUCGGGUUGGCUGUCACAACAGCAUCAAAGUGCCGCCUGUGGGGUGCUGGCCUCUGUCCAGCGUCCACUGCAGGGUGCACAGGCCACCGCUCUCGGUGUCCAGGGAGGAGUCUGCAAGCGUAGGCCUGGCACAGGCUGUGGCAGCCGUGCCCUGGUCUCAUUAAGCCAUUAGGAGGGGUAUCCAUGGAAACCGCGUGCUCAGGCACUCGGCAGAGAAGAGCAUUUAUUCUAUUAGCAGGGCUGGGUGCCAGGAGGCUUGGGCUCCUGCAGCGGCCGAGUCGGGGUUCUGGGAGAGCAAGCUGCCUGCUGGGGGCCACCACGCCCAGCCUCCACCUGCACGGUGGACGGCUCUGCAGCCUCUGCAGGUGGAGCAGCAUGACCACCUUCCCCAGCAACCCGGCCCUGGGCAUGUCUCCAGGGGAGCCGAGAGGGACACAGCUGUCCUUAUGCACAGGCUCCUCUGGGUGGGCUGUGUGGAUGCAGGCAGCUGCCAUCCAGUCCCCGUGGCACGAUGUCCCCGCCUCCUGCAGGGCCGGGCCCGCCCUAACAUCAGCCGCUCCUUCCGGGAGCUCGGGCUCCUGCGGUGAGAAACACUGCGGAAAACAGGGUCGGCGGCCUUUCUGCAGGCACCAGGCACGCUGUCACAUGAGCCCAGACGGCACUGACUGCAGCUUCUGGGUGGCUUCUCCCAGCCCCACACAGGCAGAAGCACACAUGGGGUGAGCCUGCCCCUCCCAUCCAGCCCAGACUGCUGUGUGGCAAAGCGGGUCCCUGGACUACCUGGACCACUUACAUCUCCUCUUCAUUUCUGCGGUGGCUCUGAACCUCGUGUGGGAUAUGACUGGUCCCAGAUUUCCCUCUCCUGUGCUCACCCCUUUGAUUUAAUUUACUGUAAAGCACUGAGCAGCUUCUGCGCUGGGUGCGGGCAGGGAGCAUCCCCUACCGCCCCCUCACCGGCCUCCCUGGGGGGGGCCUGGUGGCUUUCGGGGUGGCUUCCUGUGGGCCUACUUUGGAAGGUGGCCAGGCCUGUGCACACCUGGUCCCCUGCCUCACCAACAGACGACACCCGCAUGUGCACACGUGCCCUCAGUCUCCUCCUGGGACACAUCCCUGACAUCAUGGAGAAAACAAGCACAGGAUGGGACCCAGGCCCCCAGCAGGGCCCCAAGGUGGCCUGAGACCCAGGAAGAGGGGCCCAGCGCCCCCACUCGAGGGAGUCGCAGACAGAGCCCCCACGCUGCAUGCCAGCCAUCGGGAACCUGCCUGGCGGGACAAGGCCGCUCUCGCUGUGGGGUUUUCCUUUCCCUACUUUUGAAUGUUCUUUGUGUGUUAGGGACCUUCCCCUUCCACCUGAGUCACGGUUCCAAAUGUUUUCUCCCAGG
Molecule: long non-coding RNA, 1900 nt
Filed under: Heterocephalus glaber (naked mole-rat)
Lineage: Eukaryota; Metazoa; Chordata; Mammalia; Rodentia; Bathyergidae
Description: lncRNA (ENSHGLG00000045988.1)
Source: RNAcentral